Molecule: non-coding RNA, 1494 nt
Organism: Onthophagus taurus
Lineage: Eukaryota; Metazoa; Arthropoda; Insecta; Coleoptera; Scarabaeidae
Source: RefSeq, a predicted model, not a curated record
AAUUUAAUAAUAAAUAUUUCUUUUAAAAUUAUUUCCAGAAAUCCAAAUUCCAUCUAAAUCAGUUCCAUGGGUGUUAAUUUAAGUGUUGUGAUAAGUUUUGGAAAAUGAAUGAAAGAAGAAUCGGUUAAUGAAAGUCUUUUGGAGAACAUAACCUCAAACUGGUAAGCUUGCGAUGACUACAUUUAAACUGAACGUUGAAGAAGAAAAACGAAAUGUAAAAAAGAAAUCGAAAGUUAGAGGGCGGGAUUUCAAGUUAAAACCUACAGCGAUAGUCGAAAUAGGUUUUUUAAGUGGAAAACUCUGUAGAUGUUUUUAAAAUCUACUUUCCCUUUAAGAGUUUUCGAUAAACAAACUACAUCAACUUACAAGAAUUCCUCGGCUAUAAUGUCAUUUGGGAGUACUCUCCGGGAUCUGGUUUGAAUUGAACGACGUCAUUACGGGAAUGUUUGUCAAUCGAAUAAUCCUACACGAGUCCAGGAUAAUGCCUGGAAUUGCGCAAUCGACACAUUGGAAUGGCUAACGGAGGAAUUAGUCCGGUUUGUCCGCGUUGAGUUUAUAAAUCUUCUAUGGUAAAGCAACGUUAGUUCUGGAUAUUUCUUACCCCUAAGGAAUGGUGGACCAUCGAAAUGAGAAUGAGUCGAAUUUCGAGUAAGUAAAUAUCGAUUUUUAAAAUGAUCAUAGAAUAAUCAAAUUGUAAUGGGAAUACUAGUAGAAAUCCGACCGGAAGAUGCAAUUAACAGUAACUCACGCGGAGUGUGACCCAAAAUGUUGCCUUGACGUGUAACCGAGAGGGUAGUUUGCGGUCACGGACAGUAAAUAUUACUUAGAAAUUACUCGGUAUUACCCGGAAUCGCAUAACUACUACGGCCUAAUUGCCGCAAUUAAUCGUGAACGAGCCUCCGGCUACGAAAUUUACAACCGAAACGAGAAAUUCUCGAAUCCUCGUCCCAAUUUCAAACGAAACAUUCUCAAAAAAACCAUUAAUAUAUUGCUUUUAUAAAGUUAUCUCGCCCGGAUAAAUUUAUAGCUCAAAUUCGAUUAUUGUAUAAAGCUCUAACGAACUUAUCUACUUUUAAAUUAGAUAAAUUAAUGGAUUAACCGAAUACACUUAAAACUAAAUACGACUUUAAUCCGAUUUCGCUUAUUUUUAUAGCCACUUUAAUCAAUAGGACGUUGACUGUUAAACAUUAAGCAUUUUUUUCCCUCCAUGAGGAUUUCAUGGAGGGUCAAAGUUCGUUUGAUCGAACGCUUCAUUAACGUAGGAUCAAGUUCGGGCGUUUAAUUGCGUCUCUUGGGGGUUGAACCCGGGGCUGCCCAAAACCACCGGUCUCUUGUAAUAGAAUUUGCUCGUCCCUGACUACAUAUGGAACUAAAACCGAACCGUUCGAUAAGCAGUAUAUGUAUUCGAUUUAGACUUUAAUUAUGAUGCUUAAAAUGCAUCAAGAGAAAUUAUUUCGGUUUCAAAAUCUUAAUAAAAUUGGAUUAUAAAAGUAA